AAGUGCCGUUUAAAUAGGGCGGGUACCUUGACGGUACCUGACGAGAAAGCCACGGCUAACUACGUGCCAGCAGCCGCGGUAAUACGUAGGUGGCAAGCGUUGUCCGGAAUUAUUGGGCGUAAAGCGCGCGCAGGCGGCUAUGUAAGUCUGAUGUUAAAGCCCGGGGCUCAACCCCGGUUCGCAUCGGAAACUGUGUAGCUUGAGUGCAGGAGAGGAAAGUGGUAUUCCACGUGUAGCGGUGAAAUGCGUAGAGAUGUGGAGGAACACCAGUGGCGAAGGCGGCUUUCUGGUCUGUAACUUGACACUGAGGCGCGAAUGCGUGGGGAGCACACAGGAUUAGAUACCCUGGUAGUUCCACGCCGUAAACAAUGAGUGCUACGGUGUUGGGGGUUUCCACUACCC
Molecule: ribosomal RNA, 402 nt
Filed under: Brevibacillus borstelensis
Lineage: Bacteria; Bacillati; Bacillota; Bacilli; Caryophanales; Paenibacillaceae
Description: bacterial SSU rRNA
Rfam family: Bacterial small subunit ribosomal RNA
Source: RNAcentral